Molecule: long non-coding RNA, 4458 nt
Filed under: Cucumis sativus (cucumber)
Lineage: Eukaryota; Viridiplantae; Streptophyta; Magnoliopsida; Cucurbitales; Cucurbitaceae
Description: long non-coding RNA (CSAT_LNC000701)
Source: RNAcentral
AAAAAAAUAGUCAAAUUUAAACGGUUGUUCCAAAUAUAAACAAUUGUGUAUCCAAAAAGUCUUGAAAAAUGUCAAAUCUAAACGAUCCGUACAAAAAAAUCUUGAAAAAUGAAAAAAAAAAAUGUUUAGAUUUGGCUACUCAUAUCUAAAUGACAAAUCUAAAACAAUUGUAUAGGAAAGAAUAGUUAUCUUAAUAGACAUUUUUUAUAUUUUCCAUUAUGGACCGUGAGUUUUUAUUUUUUGAAAUUGUUUUGUAUGGUGUAAAUAUUUUACUAUUUUUUAUAUUCGUUAAAAGACCCCUUUUUAAAAACUACUUUGUUGUUCAAAUUUGAAAAUGCGUUUUUUUUAACAUGAGUAAAAAAGAAAUAAAUAAAUAAAAGAAAUUUGGAGGUGGGUGGGUUGCUUGUUUGAUUUAGUUUUCAAAACCAAAACAAAAAUGGUUACCAAAGGGAGUCUUAGUAAUUCUAUUUUUUAAACAAUUGUUGAUUAGUUGUCAUUCAAUUUAAAAUGAACGCUAAAAAUCAUAUUUGUCAUUAAAUUUGUAACUUUGAAGAUUUUGUCUUGGUCAAAGAACUAUUUAUACUAUAAACUCGGGAGGAGGCUUUAUCAAUUAAACAAACUUUCAUAGUGUAUCAAUUUACGUUCUAUUUGAAUUUUCAUUGGUCAAGAAGAUUUUGACCAUUCAUUAAGAUUACUUUUGAAAAUCAUUGUGAUGGGUGUUGUAGGCAUGCACAACAAAAAUAAGGAUCAAUUUUACCUUAAUUGUAUCUAAUCUUAUUAGAAAUUAACAUGCUACUACCAUAAUUAAAAUGAAAUUAGAGUUAAUGAAAUUUAUACCUUUAAAGCUCCUGAUCACUCAUAGUCUUCAUACGAACACAAACUCGUACCACCACUAGUAUUGACUCGUUACUCUCCGGACUUAGAAUCAAGUUGUGGGACCCGGUGAGUGAAGGAUUUGCGAGAGAUGAAAUUUAGAGGUUGGACUUAGGGUUAAAAGUUGGAAGAGAAUACAAUUUUUGGUGAAUUUUCUUUUUUAAAAUUUUAGAAACAAUAAACUAAAAAUUACCAAAAGUUUUUCACCUUUUGAAAAAGUAGUAUUUAAAUGGACUAAUUACAUGUCAUGUCAUGUCUAAACUCACCAAACCCCAACUCCAAAAUCUAAUUAAUUAAAGGAAUAAUAAGAGAUAUAACAACGUUUUUAAGCAUCAUUUUGAAAAAUGACAAAACCACUUUUUCUUUUGAAUUUUAGCAAAUAGUAUUUUUUGCACGUGCAUGAUAUUUUAUAAAAUACCCACCUUCCCCAACUGUAAUUAUUUUGUUUCUACGUUAUAAUUAAUUUUGUCUUUCAUUUAUUAACCUUUAAUUAACCUGAGACCUCUUGUCGACAGGAACAUACAUGUGUCAGUUGAGCUAAGCUCAUGUCGACAACCUUUAAUUAUUUUUUAUCUGAAAAAGAUAUAACAAUUCAUAUCAAAAUAACAUUAGUCGGUUAAAUCACAAAAAUAACUAAAUUAUUAUUUUGAAUUAAAAUUUUCUUAUGCUCUUUUUGUCUAAGUGAAAACUCGCUUAUUUAUUGUAAUUAAUGUAAUUAUUUCAAUAUAUUGCAUUCUUAUCAAAAAAUUUGUCUUUGUAAUUAAUUUGUGAUAUAUAGUUAUAAGUUUAUCAAAAGUCUUUCCAGUAUAAUUAAUUUGUGAUAUGUAAUUAUGAGUAAUUAAUUUCAACGUGUUAAUAAAUAGAGAGUCUUAUCGUAACCUCUUCCUAAUAUCUAGGGAUUUAAAAGAAUUUUAACAGCUUUAUUCAUUUUUUUGUUUCAAAAGUAAUAAAAUUGUUUUUUUUUUCUUCUAAAUCUCAACCUUUUUAUUUCAAAAUAUACUAACCUUUUCGUCAUUUUUUAUUUCAAAACAACGUAUUAGAUCCUAAGUUAUUUUUAAAUUUUGAAUUUUGAAUUUAAAAAUUAAAAUUAAUUUUCUUAUUAAGAUCUCAACUUUUUUAUUAUUAUUAUUUGAAAAUUAAAUCUCAACCUUUUUUAUUUUAAAAUAAGUUGAAUCUUCAAGAAAAAAAAUUAGUUUUCGUAUUAGAUCUUAAUUUGUUUUUUUAAAUUAUUUUUUCAAUAAAAUAGACUAAGAUAUUGUGUUUUUAGAUAAAAUCUCCUAAAUUUCAUAUACAUUUUAUUAAAUAAAUAAUAUUAAUUAAAAAAAAUUAGCAAAAUUUCCUCUACGAGACAAGAAAGAUAACUUUUAUAUAUUUUUUUUGUUUUGAAUGAAGGUUUUUGUUCUUCCACCCAAGCAUUUACAGGUUGUAGACUUGAAAAUCAAAGAUGGAAGAUGAAAAAUGAAGAUAGUGUUUGCGUGCUUCAAAUGUUUAUAUUCUUCUUCUUGAAAAUGCAUGAUGAUGAAGAUGUAAUCUAAACUUCAAAUGGAAGAGGGUGGAGAUUGAGGUUUGUCCGCUCGAACAAGAUGAGAUAAAAAAAAUUGGAAAGUAGAGACGAAGGAAGAUGAAGUUAAAACUCCAAAUAGAAGAGGGUGGAGAUUGGGGUUUGCCCGCUCGAAGAAGAUGGGAUCAAAAAAGAAAAAUGAAAAGUGGAGAUGAGGAAAGAUUUUCAAAAUGGAAGAUGAGAAACAAAAAAAAAAAAAUGAACGAUCUCAACGGGUCUGUAAAAUGAUAAGAUUUAUUAUUAAGGUGUAUUUAUUCUAUUUUAGCCUUUAUGUAUAGGGGUAUUUUGAGUUUUUUUCAAAUUCUUAUUUGUUGUAUUUUUUCUUCAUUUUGCCAUUUUUGAAAAAAAAAAACGAUUUUGCUAUUUUUCAAAAUCACAACUUUAAAAUUGUUAUUCUUGUAGUUUACCCUUAAUUAAAGCACAAAAGUUACUAAGCUAUGCCUAAAUUGACCGUGAAAGUACUCUAUUUAUAGAUAGAUGAAAAAAAUUAAUUAUAUCUAAUAAAUUUUAUAAACAAAUAUUUUUUUUUAAAAUUACAUAUAUUAGUUUUUUUUACAUAUUAAUUUUAUAAAAAAAAUAUUAUCUUAUGUUGACCAGUUAUUCUCCAGACUUGGAGUGGAGGUUGUGGGACACAAUGAUUAAGGAUUUGAGAGAGAGAUUAUGAAAUUUGGAUUUGAGUAGGGAGAAUUUAACAAUUAAAAAUCCACCCUUUAAAUAGUUGCAUGUAUAAACUCACCAAAGUCCAACACCUCACAUUUCAUUAGUGAGUUUGGUGUCAUCACCAUGAACUUCACUUAGCCCAAUAAUGAGUUAGUGGAAUUGUGAAUGAGAUUGUUGUCAUGGCUGUGAGCCUCCACACUACCCACUAAGAAUUAGUAGGAUUAUCCAACAAAAUGUUAAAUUUUUUCACUAACUUUAAUCAAAGGAUAAAAUGUUCAUGAACAUUCAAAUCAAAGCCAAUCUUUGAAUUUUAAAGUCAAAAGUCUCAACGUUUUGACUUUUUACCAUUUUGUUCGUCUUGACUAAUUCUAACCUCCCGAGCAUGAAUCCACAUUCAGUUUUACAAAAUUCAAAUAACAUUUGAAUAUACUGCUAGUCAAAUAGUCAAAGUUUGACUUUUCAAAAUUAAAAGUAACUCUUUGACAUUUUACUUGACUUUUUACAACUUUGACUAUUUCCAUCAUUUUUUAGCUUUCGAAUAUAAAUAUGCAUUCGUGUAUUUUAUAUUUAAACCACAUUUAAGUAUAAAUAUCUAUAUGUAAACUAAUAAUUUAUUGGAAUUUAUGUCUUAAAACUCGUAAUUUAUAGUUUUAAAAUUAUAUUCUAUUCAAUAAAGUUGUUAUUGAGAACUUAUUAGUGAAAAUUGAAUAAUAUGGAAUUCAAUAAACUAAGGUUCUAAGGUCAUCUAGUGUCUUUACAUAAAAUUCAAGUCUACAUUAGAUAACAAGAUGUAGUCUCGGGGUAAAUGAUAUUUUGACCUAGUUGGGGUACGAACAACCUGUGAAAGAUUAACUUACUAAUCAUGGUUAUAUCAAAUGGACACAAAUAUAUAUAGUGAGGGGAGUUCUAUUACGAAACUUUAGUGGAAUGACCUGUUAGUUAAUGAAUGUUGAUUAGCUCGGAAUAAAAAGGUUUAACUAGUUAAUUUUGAAUCUUUGGAGUCCAUAAUCUAUAGGUGAAGAGAUAAAAGUCCUAUGGCAGCAAAAGAUUUUAUAGAACCAUUGCUCAAUUUAAUUUGGAAAUCUCAAAAUAUCAGUACAUUGGAAAAACUUAGGAUCAAAAUUAUAAAUAAAAACUAAGCAUGCUUUUUAUUUAAAAGAUACAGAGAACUUACUUUCAUUGACGUCUCUAAAUCUACGAACUACUGAAUUGGGAACACCACCCCGUCGGAAACCUUCCUAUCAUCUUAGAUGAGAUUGAUUUGUGAAAACCAAUUGGGAUGGAAAAAAGUUUAGAAGUAGUUGAGAGAAACUCUUUUCUUUUUCAAAGCAAAAGCCUUGACUUUUUUUUCUUGAUCAAAUUUC